RNAcentral lists this ribosomal RNA (253 nucleotides) under uncultured bacterium. Its description in RNAcentral is "partial 16S ribosomal RNA". It matches the Rfam family "Bacterial small subunit ribosomal RNA", at positions 524 to 776 of the family's 1533-position model. The record is from RNAcentral.
UACGGAGGGGGCUAGCGUUGUUCGGAAUUACUGGGCGUAAAGCGCGCGUAGGCGGCUUUGUAAGUAAGAGGUGAAAGCCCAGAGCUCAACUCUGGAAUUGCCUUUUAGACUGCAUCGCUUGAAUCAUGGAGAGGUCAGUGGAAUUCCGAGUGUAGAGGUGAAAUUCGUAGAUAUUCGGAAGAACACCAGUGGCGAAGGCGGCUGACUGGACAUGUAUUGACGCUGAGGUGCGAAAGCGUGGGGAGCAAACAGG